GAAGCCCCCCUCAAGAUAAGAUUUCCCAUACCGAAAGGUAGUAAGACCCCUUGUAGAUUACAAGGUUGAUAGGUCAGAGGUGGAAGUGCAGUAAUGCAUGCAGCUGACUGAUACUAAUAGGUCGAGGGCUUGAUCAAU
RNAcentral lists this ribosomal RNA (138 nucleotides) under Clostridiales bacterium. RNAcentral describes it as "partial 23S ribosomal RNA". It matches the Rfam family "Bacterial large subunit ribosomal RNA", at positions 2789 to 2925 of the family's 2925-position model. Lineage: Bacteria; Bacillati; Bacillota; Clostridia; Eubacteriales. The record is from RNAcentral.